Molecule: ribosomal RNA, 162 nt
Filed under: Rochefortia stellata
Lineage: Eukaryota; Viridiplantae; Streptophyta; Magnoliopsida; Boraginales; Ehretiaceae
Description: 5.8S ribosomal RNA
Rfam family: 5.8S ribosomal RNA
About the family: 5.8S ribosomal RNA (5.8S rRNA) is a component of the large subunit of the eukaryotic ribosome.
Source: RNAcentral
AAACGACUCUCGGCAACGGAUAUYUYGGCUCUYGCAUCGAUKAAGAACGCAGCGAAAUGCGAUAMWUGGUGUGAAUUGCAGAAUCCCGUGAACCAUCGAGUCUUUGAACGCAAGUUGCGCCCGAAGCCUUCGGGCCGAGGGCACGUCUGCCUGGGCGUCACG